CAGCCAUCAGAUAUAUAAUGAAGAAAGUCAAUAUACCUGGUGUAUUCCGAAGCAGGAAAUGUGAAGGUGCGAGAAAAACUGAAACUGCUUACAAAUAGACACUCAGGUCAGUGGUAAUACAGGACCAAAAUUUUCCCCUCAGUCAAAUGCGCACUUCCAUUAUCCCUCUGUUGUUUCCUUACUGGGCACUGGGAGUGGAAGCUGGCUAGCAUGCCUGGGCUUGUCCCCUCACUCUGCCUACAGGGAGUUGCAGUAAUGGAGGGGCUGCUGGCAGGGCCAGUCUGAAGCUGGGAACCACCCUAUGAGAUGAGUCUACCUUGUAUUAGGGGAGAAUGGGAUACCCUACUGUGGAUGUCAGACCAGGAGUACUGGUUGUUCAGAGACUUCUUGUUCUUGUAACCCCCCCUACAUUUUCCACUCUCCUGAGAUAAACUGAUGAUUAGGACAGAACAUUCACCAAAGGAAGACAGCCCUUUUGGUACAGGUAUAUCAAUAUAAAUAGGGCCCCAUGGGGGUGUGCGCAUAAGGAGGAGAAAGUGUACAAGAGGGUUCUUGCCAUCCGAUGUGUUACGGUAAAGACUUGCACUUCCGCUGGGAUAAUGUAAAUGGAAAGACCUCCCAGAAAACACUGCUAGACUACUGGACAAGGCCGACUAAAUGUUGCUCAGCGUGACCAUCCAUACCAAAUGCUAUUUGGUAAGGCUUUUACCAUCCAUGAGUUGACUCCAGCAAUGGAAACCAAUGAUGCACAAUAAUCACUGGAGGAUCACAACCUGCUGCCCUUACAAACAAGUUCCCAGCUAACACAUACGCUAGCAUCUGUCUAAAGUCCAAAAAGGGCCCUGUCUGCAAUUUCCAAAGACUUUCUGUUUAAAAAUGGCAUAGAGCCACCCACAUGGCCUCAGCAAAGUAUAUACAGCACCUUUGAUGAGUACUGUUAGAAAUGAGCACUUCUGGCUCGUUUGUUGUGACAGUCUCAAUGUACCUCUGCCUAAUGGUUUAAAAUGUUGGGGUGCACAUAACUUUCCCUUUUUGCUAUAGUUUUUACAGGAGCACUGGCCAUUUCCAUAUUGCAGCUCCUACCCUUCCCAGCUACAGUCCCAGGGUCGGACUGGGGGGUGCAGGCAUUUUUUAUGAACCAGUUACCCUAAAACAAGUAUGCUAAAUACCAGCAAGUGGCUAUAUCUCUUUUUAAACCUUAUCCCACACAUCCCAUUAUAAAAAUACAAUGACUGAAUCACCAUAAGGUAUUCCCUUGGCCCUUGGGGACCUUUGUUGAUUACAGAACAGCAUUUUAAAGCCGGGGGCACAGAAAAGGCUACUAAAAUGUAAUGUGCAAGAAAAAAAAGGCAAUUUACUUUAGACACAGAAAAAAAAAAUAAUGUGUAUGGUCGUGGUGGAGAUUUUGUUAAAUCACUUUCUGUAUUGACCCUGUUUAUUGUUCAACUGUGCAGGCCUGCAUGUACCAGUAGUGCUACAUAAAUAAAAAUAUACAUACAUAUCAGA
Xenopus tropicalis (tropical clawed frog) is the source of this 1506-nucleotide long non-coding RNA. RefSeq lists it as uncharacterized. The record is from RefSeq and is a predicted model, not a curated record. The transcript is spliced from 5 exons. NCBI's taxonomy places the organism in Eukaryota, Metazoa, Chordata, Amphibia, Anura, Pipidae.